AUCCAACUGACGGGUCCCAAUUAGGACGAAACGCGCGUACUGGGU
Non-coding RNA from Schistosoma curassoni, 45 nucleotides. Lineage: Eukaryota; Metazoa; Platyhelminthes; Trematoda; Strigeidida; Schistosomatidae. The record is from Rfam.